CCAGUGUCGUCUCACAAUUCCCCUUUUUGAGCCCACUCCCUCCCUGCCAGGCUUGACUGAAGAUGCCCUGUGCAAUGCUGCCUAAAACUAACUUUCCCUGCUUCUCAUGGCAAGAGAAGUUAUGGACUCAGCCAUGUCCUCUCCCUUUCUCUCUGGAAGGAGGCCACUUUUCUAUGAGGUGAGACAGAUUUUCAAGGAUAUUAAAAACACAAAUGAUCUUGUGCUUUUAGGACAGUGGGGCUGUCAGAGGGGCUAUCAUUUGUCAUCGACAACUAUUUCAGUAAGAGGCUUUAUGGCAUGCUCUGCCUUUGCGUAACUGAUAGGAGCCAUUUCAGGUGUCUUCAUAGGAGCAGAAGAUUGGCUAGGUGGACUGGAGUGCCUAGCUUGGACUUUAACAGAAGCUGCUAACUUGUUAAGAUGCCCAUUAUUGGCUGUUUAUAGUUAUAGUCUCGCUAUUCUCUGUUAAUUGUGAAAUAAAACC
Molecule: long non-coding RNA, 481 nt
Filed under: Marmota monax (woodchuck)
Lineage: Eukaryota; Metazoa; Chordata; Mammalia; Rodentia; Sciuridae
Source: RNAcentral